ACUCGACAUCCAUUCCGAAGAGCCUCUAUUAUUGGCACAAUGCUUGAUGAGGAAGUUAAUUGGUUGCCAGUUAGGUAUGAAUUGUGACUUGCAUAAAUGUAAUAAUGGGACAAUGGCCUUGUCAUGUCAUGUGUGGGCUGGAAAAUAUGGUUGAUUUUUAAUGAAUCUAUAUACAUAUAUAAAUAUAUAGGUAGAUACUCAUGCCACAAUCAUAUACAUAUAUAUAUAUAUAUAUAUAUAAUUAUUUUAACUCAAAAACUUACAAUUAAAUCUAUUUUUAGAUAUAAUUAACAUAUAAUCAUUUUUAUGAGAUUUUAUGUUUUUUAUUACCGAAACACUUGUGAGCAUAGAUUUGUGAAUUUAGCAAAAUAUUGAAAUCUUUAUAUAGAAACAAAAAAUCAACAGAAUAAUUAUUUUUUAAAAAAAAACCCAUAUUUUUUUCUCAUUAAUUGAACUUUUGGAAUAUGUUUCAUUCAUAGGUUUGCAAUCAAUUCCAAUAUUAUGCAAGCUUGUAAGAGAAACUUACAAUAUCUGUGUCUGAAAUGGGAGGGUUCAAUUUGGCAUUCACCAAGUAGUUUGAAAACCCUAAUAGAUCCAGUUGCACACUUUGCACAGAGAUGGAGAAAUGGAACCCAGCAAUUGCGCUCAAAACAGUUUGUGUGACCAAUGAGGCCACUUGGUGUUCAUCCAAUCCUUUUUGUCCCUGAACCUUUUCCAAAAAUGUUGCAAAAUCCAAAGCAUUCAUGUAAUUCUUUCCUUGUGCAGCUUCAUGAAACAUGGUUUUCACAAUCUCCGGCGGAGUGUGUUGGAGUACAUUUGGUCUUGGAAGUACACACUCACAUCCAAUAAUUGUCAUUUUUUCCAAAUCUUAGCGUGAUUGCUUUUGGUUUUGUACAAAUAUUGCACAAAUUUGGG
This 915-nucleotide long non-coding RNA is filed under the name Physcomitrium patens. RNAcentral's name for it is "long non-coding RNA (PPAT_LNC004722)". The record is from RNAcentral. Lineage: Eukaryota; Viridiplantae; Streptophyta; Bryopsida; Funariales; Funariaceae.